GUCACUCCUACUUAGCUUCACUCCCUUAGCUUGCUUGGAAUGAUCACCACGCACUGAGAGUCUGAAAACCAACCAGCAAAUCAAGCUUUGUGGCCACCAGGCGCCUGCAAUGGCGGAGCUCGUGGUCAGCUCGGCCAAGGGCGCCGUGAGGUCGCUGCUGGGCCGCAUCAGCACCAUGCUCGUCAACGAGGCACAGCUGCUUGGCCGCGUCCGCCGCGACAUGCAGUUCAUCAAGGACGAGAUGGAGAUGAUGGACGCCUUCCUCCUGCUCCUCCUGCACCAGCAGGCCGGCACCCUCGACCACCACUACCACAACCAAUGCACGCCAUGGAUCAGGCAGGCGAUGGAGCUCGCCCGCGACUGCCAGGACUGCGUCGAGCAGUACGCGCAGUGCAUCGCAGCUGGGCCAUCCUCCAAGAGCCUCCUCCUCGGCCGCCUCCGCCGGGUGUCCCGGCUUGUCCGGAGCCUCCCCGAACGCCACAGGCUGGCCGUGCAGAUCCAAGACAUCAAGGUCCGGCUGGGCGAGGUGAGCCACCGGCGGAAGGCGUAUGACAUUUGUGCCAACCUCAACAGCUACCGUCCACCUGAGCAGGACAACGGCGGUGAACAGGAAGAUGAAGCUGCUUGGAGGCGUUAUUUGGCUUCUGCUGAACCACCGGCCGACCUGAAGAACACUGUGAACGAACUUGUCAGGUGGCUCAUGGAGGAUCAACCUGCAGGGCUUAGAAUCAUACCUGUGGUCGGAAUCUGCGUGGAUACAAGUGCGAUUAUUGCUGAGAGAGUCUACCAGCACUCCUCUGUCACCAGCCUGUUUGACUGCAAGGCUUGGAUCACUGUCCGUGAUUGUCAAUCUCAUCUUCAGAUUCUCAAAGAUAUACUAUGUCAACUUGUUCUCCCUCUGAACAAGUUCAGGAGUGAGAUGAUUGGCUGGAACGAGGAGCAGCUGGUGGAAAAGCUGCGCUGCUAUUUGCGAGGUAAAAUCUUCCUCAUUGUUCUUCACGAUGUCCGUGAUGAAUCAAUCUGGAGUCAUAUAAAGCUUGCCUUCCCAGAUGAUUGUUCUGCUGGUAGUGCCAUCAUAAUCACCACAGAUGAUGAUAAAGUGGCCGAGUCUUUCUCUGCGUAUAAAAUCUUCAACCCAGAUAGCCCCGGUUAUGUUCUCGAUUUCUUCCUUAGUAAAGCUAUAGCUCUGCUUAAACAUGAAAAUGAAAAGCAGCUAAGGAAAAUCCUACCGUGCAUGCUGAUCCAUCUUGAACCUGAAACCUUUUUUAUGAAGAUGCUCCUUCGGUACCUGUAUUAUGGGAGAUAUGCUACGUUACGACUGCGUGAUGCACUGCAGCAUACGUCAUCGCUGCAUGAUUAUUGGCCUAAGAAUAUGGUAUACUUAUGCUACAAUUAUUUGCCUGAUAAGUACCGGAGCUGCAUGCUGUAUCUGUCUAUUUUCCCACCUGGUUGCAGCAUCAGGAGGACCAGCUUAGUAAGACGAUGGAUUGUUGAAGGCCUCAUCACUGAUGAGCAAGAGAGGAGUGCACUAAAACAAGCUGAUCACUGUUCUGUCCACGCGACAUGGAUGCUUCAGGCAAGUUCAGGACCUGCAUAGUACCUGACUUGGUUCACGAUGCUCUUACUGAUCUGGUAGCCAGAGGAAGCAACAUUACUUCUGUGGACACAGUUUUGGCGCCACCAGAGUUGGCCCGUCAUCUUUCAAUCCGCUUCAGCACGAAGUUGCACAUGUCUCCAUCUGAACCAAUCAAUAGUAUUCUUUCCUUUCUCAAGUCCUUGCAUUCAUCAUCUCGGCUUGGGCUGCUUAAAGUGCUAGAUUUGGAUGGCUGCAAAGGUUUGAAGAGACGCCACCUGAAGAACAUAUGUGGCAUAUAUUUGCUCAAGUAUUUGAGCCUACGGGAUACAGAUGUCACCAGACUGCCCAAGGAAAUAGAGAAUCUGAUCUACUUGGAAACACUUGACAUCCGACAGACGAAGAUCAGUGUCUUCCCCAGGAAAUCUUUAGUGCUCCCUAUGCUCAAGCAUUUGUUCUCAGGCCAUACUGUCUAUCCAAGUGAAGACAUUUUCAGGCAGCAGGAAUCAUUCUCUGCCAUCCACAUUCCUCACCAAAUCGGGAGGAUGAAAAACAUGGAGAUAUUGUCCCAUGUCAAAGUUUCACAUGGUGGAAUGCAGUUGAUUGCUGUUGGCCAGCUACUGAAGCUGAGGAAGUUAGGUGUUGUCAUCCAUGACACAGAUAAAGAUGGUUUUGACAGUUUGCUUCAUGUAAUUGGCAAAUUGAACAAAUGCCUACGAUCUUUGUCAGUCCAGAUUAGAUCACCUUCUGCUGCUGAUGGAAGCAAUGGCUUUGACAUGAGCAUGAUGUACAGCACAUACCCGAGGCUUCUUGAGAGCCUGACCAUCUGUGGCAUCAAAAGUGGAUUGCCUCCCUGGAUUGAACAUCUCCACCAACUUACUAAGGUUACUCUGCAUAAUACCUCCCUGACAGAGAGUGCUAUCCAUGUCCUGGGCAAGCUCGUGGGCUUGUGCUAUCUUAGGCUCCGACACAGGUCAUACAUCCGAGGCGACCUCACCAUCUCUACAAGGGAAUUCAAAAACCUCAGGUUCCUUUUCAUUGAGGGCCCAGACAUUGUCAACAUCAGUUUCGAUGAGGGUGCAGCUCCUAGGCUUGAGAGGAUGGUCUGGCGUUUCACGAGAAUGGUUUCUCUUGUUGGGAUUGGUCACAUCCUAAGCAUCAGGGAGCUCGAGCUUGAAGGAGACAGUGACCUGGAGAAGAUUGGGGUGAUUCUCCGUGACAUCAAAGCACACCCCAAUGACCCCAGUCUGAAGCACAUUCCAGCAGCAGGGAACUAAUCAUGCACAAGGACUGGUGCCUACGGAUGAAGCAAACUGAAAAAACUGCCGUGGCUUAGAUCCAUUAUGUGCCUGGACAAACAAGGAUGAUUGACAUUACUAUUUCUUUCCCACUUUGAGCUGCUUGUUGAUGCUGCUGCUCCUACUACUUCUGAAGCACUUCUACUGUUAGUAUGGAAUAAAGAUGCUGAAGGGGGCCCUUCUUCCUCUUCCAUGCAUGGAUUGUUGGCUUUGUUGUAUUGUAGCACCAAUAUUUAGUAUGCUUGUUUGUUUGUCUCCUUUCCCAACAGUCAUGGGUUUUCCUGUACCAUUCAUUAGUAAGGCUUUUGAAAGAAUUCCUGUGUUUAUCUUAUCUUCCUUGUACAAGAAAAACUUGGUGUUAUUGCCUAAAGCUUACUCUUCCUCCCUUGUUUCUGUACACAGAUAUGUUUCUCACUUGGCACCCAAUAAUUACCACUGUUGUCAAUAAUCCUUUAACAAGUAAACACCGGCCUAGAAGCAUCAUCCCUCCAAAUCCAAGCCUCUUUUAGCUAGCAACGAAAAAAAAAUGCAGCUAGCUUUCUGACAGAAAUUCAGAAUCAGCAGACAUGUGAGAUGAAGAUAAAAAGGGGGAAAUGGUACGAGUCCUACAUGUUACAGAGAAGUGCCAAGGUAUUGCUGCGAGACUUUUCAUCAAACCGAACAAAAGGUAUUCAGACAUAAGCACUGUAAAAAUACUGAGAAGUGAUUCUUCUACAUGGAAUCGCCAAAAAAAAAAAAGAAGAGGUGGGUGAAUUUUACCUAGGGCUGAUUCUCUUCCCUCUCCGGUGAGAGGUUGGGCUAUGUGGGCCAAAACCGACUGCAGCUCAUGGCCCAGUAAAAUGCACCGCGAUGGCCCAAAUACUUAGCUGAGUUGCUCGCUUCUUCUGAAUUCUGAUAGUAUGUGACUCAGUAAACACACGCUCCAAUAUG
This is a non-coding RNA of Oryza sativa Japonica Group (Japanese rice), 3801 nucleotides long. The record is from RefSeq and is a predicted model, not a curated record. NCBI's taxonomy places the organism in Eukaryota, Viridiplantae, Streptophyta, Magnoliopsida, Poales, Poaceae.